Molecule: ribosomal RNA, 317 nt
Filed under: uncultured bacterium
Lineage: Bacteria
Description: bacterial SSU rRNA
Rfam family: Bacterial small subunit ribosomal RNA
Source: RNAcentral
GACGAACGUUGGCGGCGUGCCUAAUACAUGCAAGUCGAACGAGAGCGACCGGUGCUUGCACUGGUCAAUCUAGUGGCGAACGGGUGAGUAACACGUGGGUAACCUGCCCAUCAGAGGGGGAUAACAUUCAGAAGCGGAUGCUAAAACCGCAUAGGUUCUACAGUCGCAUGACUGAAGAAGGAAAGAGGCUUCGGCUUCUGCUGAUGGAUGGACCCGCGGUGCAUUAGCUAGUUGGUGAGGUAACGGCUCACCAAGGCCGUGAUGCAUAGCCGACCUGAGAGGGUGAUCGGCCACAUUGGGACUGAGACACGGCCCAG